Gopherus evgoodei (Goodes thornscrub tortoise) is the source of this 118-nucleotide long non-coding RNA. RefSeq lists it as uncharacterized. The record is from RefSeq and is a predicted model, not a curated record. The transcript has 3 exons. NCBI's taxonomy places the organism in Eukaryota, Metazoa, Chordata, Testudines, Testudinidae.
CAUUUACAAAUGGACUGCAAGGCAUCAUAUUGCUGAGUCAUGUUGAGGUUGUGAUCCACCACAAUUGUCAGAUUCUUCUCAGCAGUGCUCUUGCCAAGCCAGUUAUCCCCCAGUCUGU